Molecule: long non-coding RNA, 625 nt
Organism: Canis lupus familiaris (dog)
Lineage: Eukaryota; Metazoa; Chordata; Mammalia; Carnivora; Canidae
Exons: 3
Source: RefSeq, a predicted model, not a curated record
UCCGUCUGUGUGGCUGCCUCUCUCGGUCUCUCUCUCUGUGUCUCUUGAGGUCCUCGUAUUGAUCCAAAUAUUUUGAACAUUUAUCCUCUGAGAUUGUUUCUUUAUUGCAUAGUUGGUCCUGUUUGUGUAAGAGACAGGCAGGGAGCUUGAGCGGGAGAGGGAGCCCCAGCUCCUCAAGCCCACGGGGCCCCAGCGCAGGGCCUGCCGGGGCGGGAUCCCAGGUCUCCUGGCGGCUCCCUGCAGGCUGCACGUCCCCUCUGUCCCACCUCAGGGUGCAGGGGCCGCGGCCGGGAAGGGGCAUCAGAUCGUCCUGACCAAGCUCACCCGGACGGAGCUGCUGGAGUACAAAGUCCGACAACUGCUGCUCGCCUUGCAGCGCAGGGACGUCAUCUACAUCUUCAGCUUUUUAGAGGAUUAUCGUACAUUCGCCACCACGGACGAGGUGCUGGACCUGCUGUUCACCGAGUAUGGGUGCAUCGCAGAUGCGUGGGGUAACAACGAUGUGGUCCUGCAGUGCUGGAAACUGGCCAUCUCCUUCAUGAUGGAAAUAUGGCUGAAUUAUUAUGGGGACGACUUUCAUCAGUUCCCAGAAUUUCCCUCCCUUAUAAAACUCCAAAUACUAAGA